CCAAGGCAGGACUGUCAUAGUUUCAAAAAGGAACAUGGAUUGCACUUAUUGUGACUGAAAGAAUUAUGAAUACUCUCUUUAUGCCCCUUUUGCCCAUAAACAUCUAAGAACUUUGUACUACCAGGCUGCAGAUACAGCUGAUGUCAGGCAGGAGUGGAUGGAGCAGCUGUGGAAAGCCAUGCUGCUCAAUGGCCCAGACAGAUCUGGAUCUCUCACCGAUGGAUUAGGGAGCUGGUGCCAGAUAACAACCCUGAAAUUCGGUCUAGCCGGUGUGAAGAAUCAAAUAAUGAGACCAGCAGCACUUCAGUGAGCAGCAUUGAUCAAGAGUCAUUCGAGUCCUUCGCUGUUGCUGAUGAGACACAAGACAGUUUACACACAGGCAAUGAAAUGGAGCAAAGUACUGAGGAGUUUUUACUGACAGACUGUGACUACGAUGUUUUACCAUCUCGAAAACUUGCCGAAGAAGCCAUCUAUGACACUCCCC
RNAcentral lists this long non-coding RNA (484 nucleotides) under Sinocyclocheilus anshuiensis. RNAcentral's name for it is "lncRNA (ENSSANG00000050021.1)". Lineage: Eukaryota; Metazoa; Chordata; Actinopteri; Cypriniformes; Cyprinidae. The record is from RNAcentral.